UAUUAAAAAUUUCAUUCAUUUCUACUAUUAAAAACUGACAUAGCUGACAGAAUAACCAAACAAUGACACAUGGUGUGCCACAAGUACCUCAUGUUGAUGUACAUGGACCAGUUUUUAAUAAUAAAAAUGGAUUAAAUUUUUAACA
Gossypium hirsutum (cotton) is the source of this 145-nucleotide non-coding RNA. Lineage: Eukaryota; Viridiplantae; Streptophyta; Magnoliopsida; Malvales; Malvaceae. The record is from Rfam.